GUGCUCACAUAUUCGGCAGCACAUAUACGAAAAUUGGAACGAUACAGAGAAGAUUAGCAUGGCCCCUGCGCAAAGAUGACGUGCAAAUUCAUGAAGCGUUCCAUAUUUUU
This is a small nuclear RNA of Bison bison bison, 110 nucleotides long. The record is from Ensembl. Lineage: Eukaryota; Metazoa; Chordata; Mammalia; Artiodactyla; Bovidae.